This 389-nucleotide ribosomal RNA is filed under the name uncultured bacterium. RNAcentral's name for it is "bacterial SSU rRNA". It matches the Rfam family "Bacterial small subunit ribosomal RNA", at positions 29 to 408 of the family's 1533-position model. The record is from RNAcentral.
AAUGAACGCUGGCGGCGCGCCUAAUACAUGCAAGUCGAGCGAGAAGACGUAGCAAUACGUUUGUAAAGCGGCGAACGGGUGAGGAAUACAUGGGUAACCUACCCUAGAGUGGGGAAUAACUAGCCGAAAGGUUAGCUAAUACCGCGUACGCUCCUUGGACUUCGGUUCAGGGAGGAAAGCGAUGCCGAGGGUAUCGCGCUCUUGGAUGGGCUCAUGUCCUAUCAGCUCGUGGUGAGGUAACGGCUCACCAAGGCUUCGACGGGUAGCUGGUCUGAGAGGACGAUCAGCCACACUGGGCACUGCGACACGGGCCAGACUCCUACGGGAGGCAGCAGUAAGGAAUAUUGCGCAAUGGGCGAAAGCCUGACGCAGCGACGCCGCGUGGGGGA